GUGGGCGCUGGAGAAUUGAGGGGGGCUGCUCCUAGUACGAGAGGACCGGAGUGGACGCAUCACUGGUGUUCGGGUUGUCAUGCCAAUGGCACUGCCCGGUAGCUAAAUGCGGAAGAGAUAAGUGCUGAAAGCAUCUAAGCACGAAACUUGCCCCGAGAUGAGUUCUCCCUGAGACUAUAAGUCUCCUGAAGGAACGUUAAAGACGAUGACGUUGAUAGGCCGGGUGUGUAAGCGCAGCGAUGCGUUGAGCUAACCGGUACUAAUGAACCGUGAGGCUUAACCUUACAACGCCGAAG
This 296-nucleotide ribosomal RNA is filed under the name Klebsiella pneumoniae. RNAcentral's name for it is "partial 23S ribosomal RNA". It matches the Rfam family "Bacterial large subunit ribosomal RNA", at positions 2647 to 2925 of the family's 2925-position model. Lineage: Bacteria; Pseudomonadati; Pseudomonadota; Gammaproteobacteria; Enterobacterales; Enterobacteriaceae. The record is from RNAcentral.